RNAcentral lists this ribosomal RNA (385 nucleotides) under uncultured bacterium. RNAcentral describes it as "bacterial SSU rRNA". It matches the Rfam family "Bacterial small subunit ribosomal RNA", at positions 29 to 416 of the family's 1533-position model. The record is from RNAcentral.
AUUGAACGCUGGCGGAAUGCUUUACACAUGCAAGUCGAGCGGCAGCGCGGGGGCAACCCUGGCGGCGAGCGGCGGACGGGUGAGUAAAGCAUCGGAACGUAUCCUGGAGUGGGGGGAUAACGUAGCGAAAGUUACGCUAAUACCGCAUAUUCUGUGAGCAGGAAAGCAGGGGAUCGCAAGACCUUGCGCUCUGGGAGCGGCCGAUGUCGGAUUAGCUAGUGGUGGGGUAAAGGCCUACCAAGGCGACGAUCCGUAGCGGGUCUGAGAGGAUGAUCCGCCACACUGGGACUGAGACACGGCCCAGACUCCUACGGGAGGCAGCAGUGGGGAAUUUGGACAAUGGGCGGAAGCCUGAUCCAGCCAUGCCGCGUGAGUGAAGAAGGCC